This 224-nucleotide ribosomal RNA is filed under the name uncultured Burkholderia sp. RNAcentral describes it as "partial 16S ribosomal RNA". It matches the Rfam family "Bacterial small subunit ribosomal RNA", at positions 850 to 1070 of the family's 1533-position model. The record is from RNAcentral. Lineage: Bacteria; Pseudomonadati; Pseudomonadota; Betaproteobacteria; Burkholderiales; Burkholderiaceae.
AGCUAACGCCGUGAAGUUGACCGCCUGGGGGAGUACGGUCGCAAGAUUAAAACUCAAAGGAAUUGACGGGGACCCGCACAAGCGGUGGAUGAUGUGGAUUAAUUCGAUGCAACGCGAAAAACCUUACCUACCCUUGACAUGGUCGGAAUCCCGCUGAGAGGUGGGAGUGCUCCAAAGAGAACCGGCGCACAGGUGGUGCAUGGUUGUCCUCAAAAUUCUCCUCA